Molecule: long non-coding RNA, 1040 nt
Filed under: Bos indicus x Bos taurus (hybrid cattle)
Lineage: Eukaryota; Metazoa; Chordata; Mammalia; Artiodactyla; Bovidae
Description: lncRNA (ENSBIXG00005001541.1)
Source: RNAcentral
AAUAAUGCUGCAAUGAACAUGAGAGUACAGAUAUCUCUGCAAGAUUUUUAUUCCAAUUCCUUUGGAUAAAUACUCAGAACUGGGAUUGCUAGAUCAUAUGGUAGCUCUACUUUUAAUUUUUUCAGGAAUCUCCAAAUGUUUUCCAUAAUGUCUAUAGCAAUUUGCAGUCCUACCCUCAGUGUAUAAGGAUUCCCUUUCUCCAUAUCCUGAACAACAUUUAGCUUUUAAAAAAAAUAAUUAAAGCCAUCAUAGUGGAGUGAGGUGAUAUCUCAUGAUAGCCUUAAUUUGCAUUUCUCUGAUGAUUAGGUAUGUUGAGCACCUUUGUAUAUACUUGUUGGUCAUCUGUAGAUCUUCUCUGGAAAUGUCUGUUGAGGUCCCUAGCCCAUUUUAUUUUAUUUUAUUUUUGGCAUUGUCCAAAAUAUUGUUUUAUUCUUUAAUGGAAAAAAGCUAUUAAUAUUCAAAUGAAAAGGGUCACAUUAAAAAACCUGUAUGUAAGAAACAGCCUCCAAGAACAUCCAAGCAGCAAAUCAGAGGGAGGGAAAAACGCUUCAACAGCCCAUCCGUUUUCUUCAAAAUAUUACUUGACAGGAUACAACUCAUUUCACUGGCUACGACAAUUCAUAGAAUUUUUCAUUGUUUUCUUGAGACGCAAAAGUUCACUGCUGCAGUGUUUUCAAAUGACCAGUCAAGGGUUAACUUCUCGGUUGAAGUUUGAGGGAGUUAAUUCAAUUACAUCAUCACUAGACGAAUACAGACCAUUAACUGUUAUAAAGAGGGUACAGCUCAUCAGACCAAGCACCAGGCGAGCCAUGCUGAGCGCCCGCGCCGCCACACACUCCAGCCGCCGCCUCACCCCCUAGCCCAUUUUAAAAUCUGGUUUUUUGUUAAGGAGUUGCAGAAGUUUGUUAUACAUUUUGAAUGAUACAUGAUUGGCAAAUAUUUUCUCCCAUUGUGUGUGUUGCCUUUUCAUGUUGUUGAUGGCUUCCUUUGCUCUGCAGUAGCAUUUUAGUUUCAUGUAAUCCCACUUGUUUACUUUUGCU